AAAACGACUCUCGGCAACGGAUAUCUCGGCUCUCGCAUCGAUGAAGAACGUAGCGAAAUGCGAUACUUGGUGUGAAUUGCAGAAUCCCGUGAACCAUCGAGUCUUUGAACGCAAGUUGCGCCCGAAGCCUAUGGGCCGAGGGCACGCCUGCCUGGGCGUCACA
Molecule: ribosomal RNA, 163 nt
Filed under: Pyrus koehnei
Lineage: Eukaryota; Viridiplantae; Streptophyta; Magnoliopsida; Rosales; Rosaceae
Description: 5.8S ribosomal RNA
Rfam family: 5.8S ribosomal RNA
About the family: 5.8S ribosomal RNA (5.8S rRNA) is a component of the large subunit of the eukaryotic ribosome. It is transcribed by RNA polymerase I as part of the 45S precursor that also contains 18S and 28S rRNA. Functionally, it is thought that 5.8S rRNA may be involved in ribosome translocation.
Source: RNAcentral